CUGGCUCAGAUUGAACGCUGGCGGCAUGCUUUACACAUGCAAGUCGAACGGUAACAGGUUAAGCUGACGAGUGGCGAACGGGUGAGUAAUGCAUCGGAACGUGCCCGGUCGUGGGGGAUAACGCAGCGAAAGCUGCGCUAAUACCGCAUACGAUCUGAGGAUGAAAGCGGGGGACCGUAAGGCCUCGCGCGAUCGGAGCGGCCGAUGUCAGAUUAGGUAGUUGGUGGGGUAAAGGCUCACCAAGCCGACGAUCUGUAGCUGGUCUGAGAGGACGACCAGCCACACUGGGACUGAGACACGGCCCAGACUCCUACGGGAGGCAGCAGUGGGGAAUUUUGGACAAUGGGCGCAAGCCUGACCCAGCAAUGCCGCGUGCAGGAAGAAGGCCUUCGGGUUGUAAACUGCUUUUGUACGGAGCGAAAAGGUCUUCCCUAAUACGGGAGGCUGAUGACGGUACCGUAAGAAUAAGCACCGGCUAACUACGUGCCAGCAGCCGCGGUAAUACGUAGGGUGCGAGCGUUAAUCGGAAUUACUGGGCGUAAAGCGUGCGCAGGCGGUUUUGUAAGACAGGCGUGAAAUCCCCGGGCUCAACCUGGGAAUGGCGCUUGUGACUGCAAAGCUGGAGUGCGGCAGAGGGGGA
This 640-nucleotide ribosomal RNA is filed under the name uncultured beta proteobacterium. RNAcentral's name for it is "bacterial SSU rRNA". It matches the Rfam family "Bacterial small subunit ribosomal RNA", at positions 19 to 661 of the family's 1533-position model. Lineage: Bacteria; Pseudomonadati; Pseudomonadota; Betaproteobacteria. The record is from RNAcentral.